RNAcentral lists this ribosomal RNA (610 nucleotides) under uncultured sulfate-reducing bacterium. RNAcentral describes it as "bacterial SSU rRNA". It matches the Rfam family "Bacterial small subunit ribosomal RNA", at positions 227 to 828 of the family's 1533-position model. The record is from RNAcentral.
GGGUCCGCGUUUCAUUAGCUAGUUGGUAGGGUAAUGGCCUACCAAGGCAACGAUGAGUAGCUGGUCUGAGAGGAUGAUCAGCCACACUGGAACUGAAACACGGUCCAGACUCCUACGGGAGGCAGCAGUGGGGAAUAUUGCGCAAUGGGCGAAAGCCUGACGCAGCAACGCCGUGUGAGGGAUGAAGGCUUUCGGGUCGUAAACCCCUGUCGGAAGGGAAGAACGGGCAAUGGUCUAAUAGGCCGUUGUUUUGACGGUACCUUUAGAGGAAGCACCGGCUAACUCCGUGCCAGCAGCCGCGGUAAUACGGAGGGUGCAAGCGUUAUUCGGAAUUACUGGGCGUAAAGCGCACGUAGGCGGCCUUGUAAGUCAGGGGUGAAAUCCCACGGCUCAACCGUGGAACUGCCUUUGAAACUGCAGGGCUUGAAUCCUGGAGAGGGUGGCGGAAUUCCUGGUGUAGGAGUGAAAUCCGUAGAUAUCAGGAGGAACACCGGUGGCGAAGGCGGCCACCUGGACAGGUAUUGACGCUGAGGUGCGAAAGUGUGGGGAGCAAACAGGAUUAGAUACCCUGGUAGUCCACACCGUAAACGAUGGACACUAGAUGCCGGAC